CAACUCCUGAGCCGUCGAGCUUAGGAGCGCAGGGGCGGCCCUCGGCAGCGACGGUUAGCGAGGACUGCAGUGCUAGCCGGCGCUUUACUCUUUACAAACAUAAGCUCUCGUUCGAGCCCCACCACAGACAGGUGGCGGAGUAAGUCUCCUCCUUGUUUGGCAGGUAAGGAAACUGAGGCUCAGGGGGUUCAAACUCGAACCCAAGUCCGCAAGUCCUCUGUAUCUGAUUCCAGAGAGCCAAAGCAGACCACGACCGAAGCCCCGGGCCUCUGGACGUUUCCCUCCGAGGCUGACAGACCACCAGGCCCUGCAGGCAGCGCCCACUUGGAGUAAUGCCCCUGGUUUGAGGGGACGCCCUCCCCUGGGCCCGUCGGGAAGGGCCCCUGGGGUGGAUGAAUACAAGUGUAACCAGCCAUGACCCCCUGCUUCUCCCGCCACCCGCCCCCCAGCCCAUCUUCUAGCUGCUCUCUCCAAAGGAGACUCGCGUACACCCACGCCUUGGGGCUGCCGAAGAAUUCGGCACCUUCCUGCGCCGGGUCCUGGCCCCUUGGUGGAACAGGUGCCGCUCCGCGCCCCCCUUGCCUCGGCCCUCCAAAUGCACACUCCGUCUCUGCCCCUCCCCCCAGCUCCCCCUCCCUUGGCGGCCACCGCUAAAAAUAGCCCCUCUUCCCGUUUCCUAAAUUCCCUGCUGACGUCGGAGCUACGUCAGUGUGUAGGAGCCGCGGCCGCAUGAAUGAGGAGCCGGCCCGAGUACUAUCCCAGCUAUAAAAGCUGCGGCGCGGUGGCGACGGCUGCGGGAGCUGAGCGGCGGGGGCUGGGGCACCAGGCAGCCCGGCGGCCAGGGCCCUGAGACAAGACUGCAGCAAAACCACAGACUCUGUCCGUCCCUCCACCCCGCAGCUCUGUCCCAAAGGGAGAGUGGAGGAGUCAGACGCCCCGAUCUGGAUCUGUUGGUUCCUCUGGUUUCUGCGCCAUCCCAGGCAGAGAAGAGGGAGGGGGAGGCGGGAAUCCGCCCCCUUUCCACUCCCCCGCCGCUAGUCAGGCUCCACCUGCCAACCUCGCCUUCUCCCCGAAGGACCUCAUCCCCACGGACGGAUGCCUGCCCCGCAACUCGGUAGCUCCAAGCACCCCCGCCCCCUCUCUGCAACGCGGCGGCUUGGUGACUCAGCCUCGGCCGCCAGAGCUGGGGGUGGGGGUGAGGGGAAAGGAAGGACGUGCCCUGCCCCCAGGAGAGCCACCCCGUUUUUCCUAGCUUCUCUGGACUUGGCUUUCCAGGAACCCCUUCUCGCAAACCUCCCUUCUCCCGGAGAUCCAGCCCAUCUCCUUCAACCUUCCAGAUCCCCCUUUCCCAGUCUUCUCUUUCCCUCCGCUCUCAUCCGCCCCCCAACCCCUCCCCUGCGGAGAGCUCCCAGGGCUCGGAGCUGUCCUCUCAGCACCAGGAGCCAGAGAGACCGGGCUGCUGCCAGAGCAACACUCAGAAUCCCGCCUCCUAUCCUACCCCCCCCCACCUCUCCCACUCCAACUCCCUCCCCGCUCCCUCCCCCCCCCUUGGCCACCGGAACUGCCCCCUUUGUUCCCCCGCCCCCGCUGCAGCCUCCCACGUCACACUGGCUCUGACGUCAGGGGCCGCGUGCUGAGCCCCCAUGCUCAGGCACUUUGCGGGGAGGGGGAGGGGGAAGGGGGAGUCUUUAAUCCUGGAGGCGCGUCUGUCGUCUUUCCUGACAGCUCAAGUUUCAGCCGCUUGCCCCAGUCCAAAGGAGGAGGAGGAUCCAUUCAGGUCCGGCCCGGGCAGCGCGCCGGCACCUUGGCUCUAGACUGCUUACUGCCCGGGCCACCCUCAGUAACAGUCUCCAGUCACGGCCACCGACGCCUGGCCCCCGCCCCUGGACACCUGGACGCUCCUGGAGCCCCACAGAUUCCCGCCGCCCCUUCAACAUCUCUGCCCCUCACAGAACCUUGCUGGGCUUCUUCGACACUUCCCUGCUGCAGUUUACUCCCUAGGGUGUCCCUGUGUGGCCCCAGGGAUGUACAAGCCCCCAGACCCGACCACGCAGAUGAGUCCCAAGGGGUGGGGUGUGGAAAGAAGCUCUGCGCCGCCCCCUCCCCCCCCCCCCCAGCCAGUGCUAGGCUCUGGGCUGCCCUUCCCGCCCGAGGACCAUCUUUGGAGCUGUCCGUGGUGCUGAUCCCAGCGGACUGCUUCUCCUGGGCUGCUGGACUAGGGCUGAGCUCUGAGCGUAGAUUCGGGGGUAUCUCGCAGGUGGGGUGGGGGGAGAAAGGGGGGUAUAUUCAGACCCCGGGGGAAAUGCCGCAGUCCACUCCCAGGCUAUGGUCCCAGACAUCCGGGACUCUAGGAUCUGCCUCGAGAAUCUCACGGGGAAAGGGCUAGACAUCUGUGGCCUUUACGCAACACCCCAAACCCACUCGGGGGCCCAGGCUGUUCCACCUGAGCGCUCUCCCCCGGAACUGCGCCGAUCCUCCCUCCCUCUCCAUCCCUCUCCAUUCCUCCCCAUCCCUCCAUCCUCCCCCGAAACCUAGCCUUAGCCCCAGCCGCAAACUCUGACGUCAGGAAGCUCCGGAGAUGCCGUCACUCGCGCGCCCCCCACCCGCCCCCGCGUCUCCAGGGCAACCGUGGCUUUCGAUUGUUACUGUGGGAACCAGGGGUAACAGUCUACAGCCAUGGUCGCCCCGCAGCACGCCCACGCGGCUGUUCCUCUCCCCUCCCUCCCCGCUCACUCCACCCCACCCCACUCCACCCCACCCUUCCUCUAGCUGCGCGCUCAUUCGCCCGCCCCGCCAGAGAGCUGGGAGAGGGAGGUGGGGCUGUAGGCGGGGCGCAGUCUGAAGGGGCGUGGCCAGCAAGCUCCCAAACACCCUCUCCCGGGGUGAGAGGCAGGAAUGAAACGCCUCUCGAGGCCAAGCAUUUGGUCGUCCUCGUGCCCCUCGGGGGCACCAUUUGGGACCGGGGGACACAGCAUCCCCGAGUCUACGUCUAGACGCAGCUUGGGGGUCGUCCCAGCGCUCCCCCACCUCCAAAAAGGAGAGCAGCCUGAGACAAAAGCGCCCCGAAGACCGCGGCCAUUUGUCACAGUGAGUCUCUGCAUGUCUGUCUGUCUGACAGGUGCGGCCACGGCCCGCCCCUUCUGCCCUCGAGAGACGCCGAGGUGGGCCCAGCCUUCCCGCACCCGGGCUGGCCCCUAAGGAGAAGGCGGGGCCUGGAGGGCAAGCCCUGCCAGGGCUCAGUUUGAGCAUUUCUCUCGCGCGCGCACCCUCCGCCCCACAGACACACCCAAAGAGGCCCCGGGAGGAGGGAAAGGAGGAGGCAGGGAAAGAAAAGGGACGGCAGCGUGUAAGCCCAUCGUCCCCGGAGGCCCUGCUCCCCUCCACCAGCUCGGCUUCUGCCCUGGACCAGUCGGAGGCAAUGAAUGGGAGACCGGAGAGUCGGGGGGUGAGUUAUCCAGAGGGGAGAGUUCAGGCAGUGCCCGGGGGGGCCGCUUUGGGAAUGGGUGAGCAGAGAGCUGAGCGGGUGGUCAUCCCCGAGAGGCCCCGACCCUGCAAGACGGCAGGCUGCGGAGUCGAAUGGUGAGGAUGAACUUGGCUCUUUCACUUCAUUCCGUCCAGGGGCCCAGAGCAGCUAGAAUGCUAGAGCUAAGAGAGCUCGGAGACACACGAGGGUGCAACUUACUCGUUUUAUUGAUGAAAAAAAUUGAUAAUAGGGGAAGUGAAUGUUGCAGGGCGAUCUAGUGAUGAAUUAGUGUCAGAGCUGGAUUCGAAUCCAGGUUUUCUGGCUCCUUUCUCAUAGUUUUUUUUCACUCAGUGUUCCACAGAUGAAGCUCAUGAGUUUGGUUCUGUGAACUGUAGUGCGUGAAAGGAGGGAAAUCAGAGAUGAGAGAGAAGGCAGGAAAAGGACUAAGAAUCAAGCAGAAAAAGAAGUUUGUGAAUUUAUGUUCUAAAGCAAAAAUGAAGAAGAGUCGCUUAGUGGCCUGGUGGAUAGAACAUGAGGCUGAGAAUCAGGAAGAAGCCAAUCUCAGACACUUUUCUGGCUGUAUGACCCUGGAUAGGUCACUUUACCUGGUUUACCUCAGUGUCCUCAUCUGUAAAAUGGGCCAGAGAAGGAAAUGCAAACUACUCCAGUAUCUUUGCAACCUAAAUCCAAUUGAAUCUCCAGCUUCCCUCCCCUCUAUGGUCCUCUCUUUUCCUCAUACAGCACUUCCUUUUCUGCCUCCUUGUCUUUGUGCUGGCUCACCUUCAUACCUGGAAUAUACCCUCCUUUUCAUCUCCACUUCACAGAAUCGUUGUUCAGCCCGGUCAGUUGUAUCCUCUUUGUGACCCCAUUUGGGGCUUUCUUGGCAAAAAUACUAGAGUGGUUUGCCAUCUCCUUCUCGAGCCCAUUUUAGAGAUGAGAAGAAAGCUGCCCAACAGGGUGAUGAAUUGGCUCGGCCCAGGGCCACCUAGGCCAAUAAGGUGUUCUCGGUCCAGAUUUGAACUCCAGAAGAUUCGACUUCCUGACUCCAGAUCCAGCACUAUCCACUGCACCACCCAGCUGCUCACCACUCCAGUCAGAGCCUCAGGCAACUGGACAAUAACGAGCGGAGGAGGUGGUGGGAUCAGAGGGCAGAGAAUUUUUUUUUAUCAGAAAAGAGCCUUUAGGUAUCUAGUCCCAUUUUUUCAUGUUUACAAAUGAGGAAGUGGAGGCCCGGAGUACAAGGAACUUACUCGGGAAUCACAUACAGGUCAACGGGAGAACCAGAAGGCCUGAGACAAAUGAUGAGACCGUUUUCUUGGGGUGUCCUUAUAAGGCAGCACAGAAGAGGGAAAAUGGGAGUCGGGACCCGAGUUCUACCCCCGGCUCUGACACAAUCUAGCUGGGAUAUGCUGGUCACGUUUGUGGGCCUCAGUCCCCCCCCCCCCAGCUGAUUUGUUUCUAUUAUACCACCCCUCACUCCUCUGCCAGUCAUACCAUCCUCCUCCUCCUCUCUGGCAGUCACAGCAUUAGAUUAGAUGGUUCCCCCCAUCCAAAGGACAAUCCGGCUCAUCUUGAAGUCCUCCAUCCUGGAGAGGUGAGCACCGCAGGCUUUCUUGGGGAGGACUGAAAUGAAGAGGGGCUGAGGAAGGCUCCCUGGGGAAGGUGGGAUUUCAGUUGGGACUUGAAGGAAGCCGAGGAGGGAGAGCAUUCCAGAUAUGGGAGACAAGCUAAGAAAAUGCCCAGCCAAGAGAAUGUGGUGUCUAUUUGUAGAACAGCCAGGAAGCCAGUCACUGGAUGCAGGACAGGUUGGAGGGGAGUGGGGAGAGGCUCAAGACACAGACCACCAAGCAGGCCACUGCAGUAAUCCAGGGGGUGAGGUGAUGAAGGUCGGGGGAGGGGGGGAUUUGACAGAUGUUGCAAAGGUGCAAUCAGCAACCCUUUGGCUUAGGAUAACUCCUAACUCGGGAGUCAAAAGACUUAAGAGGACAAUGUUGGCCCUCUACGGUGAGGAGAGUUUGGGGAAAAGACAUUAAGUUCUGUUUGGGACAUGUUGCAAUUAAGACACGUCAGAUACCCAAUUGGAAAAGUCCGAAAGGCGACUGGAGAUGUGAGAUUGGAGUUUGAGCCAAGAUGGGCAAAUAUCAGAACAGAUUCUACAUCAAACAAUUAAAAGUCUGAGCAUGGUCUCCCUUGUCCUUUUCCUCCCAUGCCUCCAGGAAGGGAAUUAAAUUAUGAGGUGGGGAGUUAGGUGGCUCAGGGAAUAAAGAGCCAGGCCCAGAGAUGGGAGGUCCUGGGUUCAAAUUUGACCAAUAUUAAGACAAAAGGUAAGGGUUUAAAAUAAAACCAAAAUAUUUAAAUUACUGCCCCCAUCAGGCAGGCCAAAGGAACACAGAUCCUCAGAGUCUGGGUCCCUAGAAUCAUAAA
Non-coding RNA from Monodelphis domestica (gray short-tailed opossum), 5887 nucleotides. The record is from RefSeq and is a predicted model, not a curated record. Lineage: Eukaryota; Metazoa; Chordata; Mammalia; Didelphimorphia; Didelphidae.